AUUGAACGCUGGCGGCAUGCCUUACACAUGCAAGUCGAACGGCAGCACGGGAGCAAUCCUGGUGGCGAGUGGCGAACGGGUGAGUAAUAUAUCGGAACGUGCCCAGUCGUGGGGAUAACGUAGCGAAAGCUACGCUAAUACCGCAUACGAUCUACGGAUGAAAGCGGGGGAUCGCAAGACCUCGCGCGAUUGGAGCGGCCGAUAUCAGAUUAGGUAGUUGGUGAGGUAAAGGCUCACCAAGCCGACGAUCUGUAGCUGGUCUGAGAGGACGACCAGCCACACUGGGACUGAGACACGGCCCAGACUCCUACGGGAGGCAGCAGUGGGGAAUUUUGGACAAUGGGCGCAAGCCUGAUCCAGCAAUGCCGCGUGCAGGAUGAAGGCCUUCGGGUUGG
Molecule: ribosomal RNA, 395 nt
Filed under: uncultured bacterium
Lineage: Bacteria
Description: bacterial SSU rRNA
Rfam family: Bacterial small subunit ribosomal RNA
Source: RNAcentral